This 771-nucleotide ribosomal RNA is filed under the name Xenorhabdus szentirmaii. RNAcentral describes it as "partial 23S ribosomal RNA". It matches the Rfam family "Bacterial large subunit ribosomal RNA", at positions 1099 to 1877 of the family's 2925-position model. Lineage: Bacteria; Pseudomonadati; Pseudomonadota; Gammaproteobacteria; Enterobacterales; Morganellaceae. The record is from RNAcentral.
UGUUGGCUUAGAAGCAGCCACCAUUUAAAGAGUGCGUAAUAGCUCACUAGUCGAGUGACUCUGCGCCGAAAAUGUACCGGGGCUAAAUACACCACCGAAGCUGCGAAUUGAUACCAAUGGUAUCAGUGGUAGGGGAGCGUUCUAAGUGCAGUGAAGUCAGACCGGAAGGACUGGUGGAGCGCUUAGAAGUGAGAAUGCCGGUAUGAGUAGCGAAAGACGGGUGAGAAUCCCGUCCACCGAAUGCCUAAGGUUUCCUGAGGAAGGCUCGUCCGCUCAGGGUUAGUCAGGACCUAAGCCGAGGCCGACAGGCGUAGGCGAUGGACAACAGGUUGAUAUUCCUGUACCACCUCUUUAUCGUUUGAGCAAUGGAGGGACGCAGAAGGAUAGAAGAAGCGUGCGAUUGGUUGUGCACGUCCAAGCAGUUAGGCUGAUAAGUAGGCAAAUCCGCUUAUCGUGAAGGCUGAGCUGUGAUGGGGAAGCUCCUUAUGGAGCGAAGUCUUUGAUUCCCCGCUGCCAAGAAAAGCUUCUAGCGAGAUAAAAGGUGCCUGUACCGCAAACCGACACAGGUAGGCGAGGAGAGAAUCCUAAGGUGUGCGAGAGAACUCUGGUUAAGGAACUCGGCAAAAUGACCCCGUAACUUCGGGAGAAGGGGUGCUUUCUUAACGGAAAGCCGCAGUGAAUAGGCCCAAGCGACUGUUUAGCAAAAACACAGCUCUCUGCGAAGCCGUAAGGCGAAGUAUAGGGGGUGACACCUGCCCGGUGCUGGAAGGU